AGUGAACGCUGGCGGCGUGCUUAACACAUGCAAGUCGAACGAGAACGGGUUAUAGCUUGCCAUAAUUGUCAGCUAAGUGGCGCACGGGUGAGUAAUGUAUAGGUAAUAUGCCUCUUACUAAGGGAUAACAAAUGGAAACGUUUGCUAAUACCUUAUACUCCUUAUUAACAGGAGUUAAUAAGGGAAAGAUUUAUUGGUAAGAGAUUAGCCUGUAUUGUAUCAGUUAGUUGGUGGGGUAAUGGCUUACCAAGACUAUGACACAUAACUGGUUUGAGAGGAUGAUCAGACACGCUGGAACUGAGACACGGUCCAGACUCCUACGGGAGGCAGCAGUGGGGAAUAUUGCACAAUGGACGAAAGUCUGAAGCAGCAACGCCGCGUGGAGGAUGACACAUUUCGGUGCGUAAACUCCUUUUAUAUGAGAAGAUAAUGACGGUAUUAUAUGAAUAAGCACCGGCUAACUCCGUGCCAGCAGCCGCAGGAA
Molecule: ribosomal RNA, 484 nt
Filed under: uncultured bacterium
Lineage: Bacteria
Description: partial 16S ribosomal RNA
Rfam family: Bacterial small subunit ribosomal RNA
Source: RNAcentral